RNAcentral lists this transfer RNA (70 nucleotides) under Dipodomys ordii (Ord's kangaroo rat). It matches the Rfam family "tRNA". Rfam says of the family: Transfer RNA (tRNA) molecules are approximately 80 nucleotides in length. Their secondary structure includes four short double-helical elements and three loops (D, anti-codon, and T loops). The record is from Rfam by way of RNAcentral. Lineage: Eukaryota; Metazoa; Chordata; Mammalia; Rodentia; Heteromyidae.
GGAACGGUGGCUCAGUGGUAGAGCGCUUGCCUGGCAUGCAGGAAGCCCUGGGUUCGAUUCCUCAGCCCCA